Molecule: non-coding RNA, 74 nt
Organism: Podarcis lilfordi (Lilford's wall lizard)
Lineage: Eukaryota; Metazoa; Chordata; Lepidosauria; Squamata; Lacertidae
Source: the annotation of a GenBank genome assembly
GCCAAAAUAGCUCAGACAGUAAGAGCAUGAGGCUCUUAAUCUCAGGGCUGUGAGUUCCAGCCCCACAUUGGGCA